CGGUUGAUCCUGCCGGACCCGACUGCUAUUUGGGUGAGAGUAAGCCAUGCAAGUUGUAUGGGAUGCCUAAACUUCCCAUAGCAAACUGCUCAGUAACACAUGAUCAACUUACCCUAUAGAGGGAAAUAACCUCGGGAAACUGAGGAUAAUGUCCCAUAAUUGAAUAGGCUUGGAAAAGUUAUUCAAUAAAAAGGAUAAAAAAAAUGGUUUUUAUUCGCUAUAGGAUAGGAUCGUGGUCGAUUAUGGUUGUUGGCGAGAUAACGGCUCACCAAGCCGAUAAUCGAUAGGGGCCGUGAGAGCGGGAGCCCCGAGAUGGGUACUGAGACACCGACCCAGGCCUUACGAGGCGCAGCAGGCGCGAAACCUCCGCAAUACACGAAAGUGUGACGGGGUUACCCAAAGUGUUCAAUUAUGAACUGUGGUAGGUGAGUAAUGUCCCCUACUAGAAAGGAGAGGGCAAGGCUGGUGCCGGCCGCCGCGGUAAAACCAGCUCUUCAAGUGGUCGGGAUAAUUAUUGGGCUUAAAGUGUCCGUAGCCGGUUUAGUAAGUUCCUGGUAAAAUCGGGUAGCUUAACUAUCUGUAUGCUAGGAAUACUGCUAUACUAGAGGGCGGGAGAGGUCUGAGGUACUAUGGGGGUAGGGGUGAAAUCUUAUAAUCCUUGUAGGACCACCAGUGGCGAAGGCGUCAGACUGGAACGCGCCUGACGGUGAGGGACGAAAGCCAGGGGAGCGAACCGGAUUAGAUACCCGGGUAGUCCUGGCCGUAAACGAUGCAUACUAGGUGAUGGUAUGGCCAUGAGCCAUAUCAGUGCCGUAGGGAAACCGUUAAGUGUGCCGCCUGGGAAGUACGGUCGCAAGGCUAAAACUUAAAGGAAUUGGCGGGGGAGCAC
RNAcentral lists this ribosomal RNA (889 nucleotides) under uncultured archaeon. RNAcentral describes it as "bacterial SSU rRNA". It matches the Rfam family "Archaeal small subunit ribosomal RNA", at positions 5 to 879 of the family's 1478-position model. The record is from RNAcentral.